This 397-nucleotide ribosomal RNA is filed under the name uncultured bacterium. RNAcentral's name for it is "partial 16S ribosomal RNA". It matches the Rfam family "Bacterial small subunit ribosomal RNA", at positions 523 to 918 of the family's 1533-position model. The record is from RNAcentral.
AUACGUAGGGGGCGAGCGUUGUCCGGAAUGAUUGGGCGUAAAGGGCGCGUAGGCGGCCCGGUAAGUCUGGAGUGAAAGUCCUGUUUUUAAGAUGGGAAUUGCUUUGGAUACUGUCGGGCUUGAGUGCAGGAGAGGUAAGUGGAAUUCCCAGUGUAGCGGUGAAAUGCGUAGAGAUUGGGAGGAACACCAGUGGCGAAGGCGACUUACUGGACUGUAACUGACGCUGAGGCGCGAAAGUGUGGGGAGCAAACAGGAUUAGAUACCCUGGUAGUCCACACUGUAAACGAUGGAUGCUAGGUGUAGGGGGUAUCGACCCCUUCUGUGCCGCAGUCAACACAAUAAGCAUUCCGCCUAGGGAGUACGGCCGCAAGGUUGAAACUCAAAGGAAUUGACGGGG